RNAcentral lists this ribosomal RNA (1424 nucleotides) under Pedobacter sp. Its description in RNAcentral is "bacterial SSU rRNA". It matches the Rfam family "Bacterial small subunit ribosomal RNA". Lineage: Bacteria; Pseudomonadati; Bacteroidota; Sphingobacteriia; Sphingobacteriales; Sphingobacteriaceae. The record is from RNAcentral.
GGACCUUGGGGCGGGCCUAACAUGCUAGUCGAGCGAUACCGAGAGGCUUGCUUCUCUUGAAAGCGGCGGACGGGUGCGUAACGCCUAGGAACCUACUGGUUCAGGGGGAUAGCCCGAAGAAAUUCAGAUUAACACCGCAUAAAAUCACAGGAUAGCAUUAUCUAAUGAUCAAAUAUUUAUAGGAUUGAGAUGGGCAUGCGUGUCAUUAGUUAGUUGGCGAGGUAACGGCUCACCAAGACCACGAUGACUAGGGGAUCUGAGAGGAUGACCCCCCACACUGGUACUGAGACACGGACCAGACUCCUACGGGAGGCAGCAGUAAGGAAUAUUGGUCAAUGGAGGCAACUCUGAACCAGCCAUGCCGCGUGCAGGAAGACAGCCCUCUGGGUCGUAAACUGCUUUUAUUCGGGAAUAAACCUACUUACGUGUAAGUAGCUGAAUGUACCGAAGGAAUAAGGAUCGGCUAACUCCGUGCCAGCAGCCGCGGUAAUACGGAGGAUCCAAGCGUUAUCCGGAUUUAUUGGGUUUAAAGGGUGCGUAGGCGGCUUAUUAAGUCAGGGGUGAAAGACGGUGGCUCAACCAUCGCAGUGCCCUUGAUACUGAUGAGCUUGAAUACACUAGAGGUAGGCGGAAUGUGACAAGUAGCGGUGAAAUGCAUAGAUAUGUCACAGAACACCGAUUGCGAAGGCAGCUUACUAUGGUGUCAUUGACGCUGAGGCACGAAAGCGUGGGGAUCAAACAGGAUUAGAUACCCUGGUAGUCCACGCCCUAAACGAUGAAUACUCGCUGUUAGCGAUACACAGUUAGCGGCUAAGCGAAAGCGUUAAGUAUUCCACCUGGGGAGUACGGUCGCAAGAUUGAAACUCAAAGGAAUUGACGGGGGCCCGCACAACCGGAGGAGCAUGUGGUUUAAUUCGGUGAUACGCGAGGAACCUUACCCGGGCUUGAAAGUUAGUGAAUCAUUUAGAGUGCCUUGAGUGAGCAAUCACACGAAACUAGGUGCUGCAUGGCUGUCGUCAGCUCGUGCCGUGAGGUGUUGGGUUAAGUCCCGCAACGAGCGCAACCCCUAUGUUUAGUUGCCAGCACGUUCAGUUGAGGACUAUACACAGAGACCAACUGCAGGAAGAGUGGAAGGAGGGGAUGACGUCAAGUCCUCAGGGCCAUCACGUCCGGGGCCACACACAUGGUAGAAUGGGUGGUCCGGAAGGCCGCCAGCUGGCAACAGCCACGCAAUCCCAUAUAAACCCUCAAAAUUUGUAAACAGGUGAUCAACUCGACCUCUUGAAGUUGGCGUUGCUCGUAAUCGAAAUCAGCAAAACGCGGUGAAUACGCUCCCGGCCCUCGCCACACCGCCCGUCAAGCCGGGAAGUCGGGGCAAGCCUAGUCUAACUCCGCGAGGAGCGUCUUUAGCCAUCCCUUGUGGU